AACUUGAAUCCAAUCAAAACACUACCCUCACAAAUCCCCCCGGUCCUAUAAACAAACGGUCUCUUUCUCUCUCUCUAGCUCUCUGAGAUCUUCUUCGCCUAAAAUUCACAACCCUCUCUCUCUCUAGAACUCGCAUUCUUGCUGUGAUUGUCCUCUCUCUCUAUCUCUCUUCAAUUAUUUCUUGUUUUUUUAUUUAAUUUCUUGUUUUUGAUUCAAUUAUUUCUUGUCAAACGAUCCAAAUAUUCCCCCAAAAUUGCAAAGACUUCAAGCCCUCUUCGACAUCUGAAGCAGAGUUAAAAAUUAAAACCCUAGGGCGAUUACAACCCAGUUGGACAGUGACGUGAGCGACAAAGAAUGUACUCCAGAUUUGCUACCAAACUCGUCGAGUGAGAUUCUGAUUUGAUUGGUGAGAGUAGCGCGUCGAACGGACUCAACAAGGUUCUCCAUGUCAGAUAGUUCUUCCAGUUUUCCAGAAGAUCACUGAUUUGACUACCAAGUGAUUGGAAGCAUUUGAUUUGAAGAGAGAGCAUACUGCCUUGUCUGAUCAAGUCAAGCUCACUACGAAUUCCUUUCCGGGACCUGCAGUUCUAAACACACCUUUCAGCUGCUAAGUGAGCCUUUUGUUUUAAUCACUCACAAUUAUUUUCUAACUUUCCUUCUCUCUUUGAUUGUAAUUUGUUGUUUCUGGAUAUCCAAAUCCAUAAGCGUCAUCGGAAUUGCCCUGGUAUGCUUUCUGAAAACUCACUUUAUAACUGCUGUUUACUGUGACUGUGCUUAGAAACAUGCAUAGGAGUUAACUGCUUGUCUAAUUUGACUGUCCUCUGAGUUAAAUUCGAUUGAUUUGAACUGCUUAAAUUUUCUGCAAUAUGAUAGUCUUAGAACUGCUGUGGUUGAUGUCAAUGAAUGAAUCUGCUGCUGGUUGCAGGAUCCAGUUUUUUCUUUAUUUGCCUUGCACGUCUUAGAGGAAAUAAGGCCGCCUUGUAUGUCUUGAUUGCAACCUGCAAAAGCCCAAAGUUUUUAAUCAAUAAUCUGUUUUUAUCAACUCAGUUUUUCAUAAUAUAAGUUUCUCCAAGCAAAGGUGGAAGUACCUUUUCCGCAAAGGUGGAAUCAAAUCAACCCACGGCAAAGGUGGAAUCAAAUCAACCCACGGCAAAGGUGGAAGUACCUUUUCCGCAAGUCUCCAAUGCCCUUAAACUGUCCAAUUUGUCCAAUAAAGGUAAGAAUAUGUCAAAUUUGGUUCCUACUAAUGUUUUUCCUUUGAAUGUUCCUUUUCCUAGUAGGUUUAUGCAAACAAAGAAGGAGGAAGCUGAAAAGGACAUCCUUGAGACAUUUAGGAAAGUUCAAGUAAACAUACCUUUGUUGGAUGCAAUCAAGCAAGUCCCGAGGUACGCCAAGUUUUUGAAGGAGUUGUGCACCACUAGGAAAAGGAUGUCGACUAAGGAAGUGGUAAAGGUAGGUGAGAAUGUGUCCGCCAUCUUGCAACGCAAACUACCUCCCAAAUGCAAAGAUCCGGGUAGUUUUACCAUUCCUUGCGUCAUUGGUAACA
This is a long non-coding RNA of Malus domestica (apple), 1546 nucleotides long. RefSeq lists it as uncharacterized. The record is from RefSeq and is a predicted model, not a curated record. Lineage: Eukaryota; Viridiplantae; Streptophyta; Magnoliopsida; Rosales; Rosaceae.